CCAAGUCGAGUUCCUCCGACACGCAACCAGUCAGAUAUUGCAACUGACACGGGAUUCAACCGGUAAAACUGUGCCGACUUUGUCAAAAAUCAAGUCUAAAAUUCGCAUAUUUCUUCUUUUUAUUAUAUUUUAUUUUAUUUGAGUUCUUACUCAAUCUGUGAUUUAAGUUAGGCGCGUUGUUUCAAGUUAUUGGUGAGAUUUUAACAGAAUAAAUUAAUAAAAAAAAAAAAAUUGUCAUUUCUUCUAAAAUCGGUUCUGGAACACGUUAGGUCAACUUAAACUUGUGCAACAGGUCACACCAAACUGAUGGUUAAAAAUCAGUUAAAUAAUAAUAACUUUAAGCUGAAAUAAUUUGAAAUCAAUCAACAUACGCGACGUUUAUUUAAUACUUACAUACGACUCUUGGAAUAAAUGUUUAUACCACGAGCUUUAUUAAUUUAAUGUCCCAUCAAAUGAAGAAAAUGUACUUUUUAUUAUGAUUAAUAAUAAAAAGUGAUUGAAUUUAGCAGAUAAUAAAAUGUCUUUUAUUGCAGAGCAUCUUUUUGAGAAAAUAACCGACGAGAUUCGAUAUCAAUACAAACAAAGAUUCGAAUGACAUUAGUUUAACGAUCUCUAUCAUUCGAUACCCGAAUACGCAUAAACGUAUAGAUCCAUACUCCCUCUUCGACACCUUCCAUUGGAAGAGAAGAAAGAGCCCUCGAUCUCCUGCAAGAGAAGCGGAUCUCCCAGUUCACGUUCAAGUUGUCCUCUCACACCGAUCGACACGUACGGAACCGCGACAUCAGUACUGAUGUAACGAGGGAGGACACGAGAGUUAACUUCCAGGGAUGGAAUUUCACCUUAUCAAAAAAAUAAUUCUUUGAUCCUUCGAGCCAGCAUUUUCCUUUUCUUCAUUCACUUGAUCCAUUAUUUUUAUAUUUAUUUAUAUUUUCAUCUCAAGCCGGUCUCACUACCUUUUUUUCUUUUUUGAAAAGAAGUAUUACUACCGAGUGAUAAAAUAACACAACAGUAACAGUAACAGUAACAGUGAUCCGGGUGAUUGAAUAAAGUCACGGAAUAAAUGAAUAAAGAGGAUUUUUUUGUUCGGGAGCCAGCCAGCGGUGCAAUUCUUCUAUAAGAGAGUAAUCGUAUACCAGAAGAAUGAUCCAAAUUGAAUGAGGGUAAUUCAAUUCACUUGUGUAUUUGUGGCGAGGAUAUACUGAUAAAUGUAUUGACUAUUUUCCGUCCGAUUUAUCAACGCACUUUCAACGAUUGUUUAGUGACCGUUGAAAUAAAUAAAAAAUAAAGUUAACUCAACUCUAGAGUCUCGAGUGUCGGAUUUAAUGGUUAAAGUUACCGAUUAAGAAAAAACUAUUAUAGUUACUAUUUAUUAAUAAAAUAAAUAAAAUACUCGUUUGUUUAUUUAAUAAAAUAUAAAAAUAAAAAUAUCAUUACGAUUGCAAGUUCAAGUUUGCGUGUAAUCUGCAAAUAAAUGUAGGUCAUCAUAAAAGUAUUUAUAUUUGUAUUACAUAAAAUAAAAUUUAGUUAAGCUUUGAAAAAAGCGUUAGAUAUUUCUUCUUCUUCUUUUUUUUUUUUUUUUUUUUUUUUUUUUUUAUUAUAUUUCUUCAGCUUCCCCGAUUUACUCUAAAUCCAGUGUAUACAUUCAUGAAAUAAAAUUUAUCUGGCAGUGACAUUGAACAGCAAAAAAAUAACACAAAAUGAUAACAAAAUUUAUUAAAGAACAAAAGUCAUGUUUUAUUGUGUUAAAUCGAUAGUAGUGAAGAGAAAAAAUGUUAAAAGAAGAAAUAGGGUUGUAGGAUGAUUGAAAACGGAAAGACUUGGGUAGGUAGUGCACGUGAGGAUGAUGAUCGCUUUAAAAUAGAUUCGUUUAUGUUCGAAAAGAAAAAUAUUAAGACUGAGACUGGUAUUGAGAGUGUUGCUGUGGAUAUUGACAUUGAUAUUGGCAGUGAUUUUGAGUGGGUAUCCUCGAUGCGAUUCAGUGACAAUUACACGAAUUCAUUGACGGGAAUGCUGACGGCAAGUGUUGAGGCGAGUUUUAAUCAGUCGACCACGGAGAGAAGAGACGCGCUUUAUGUCGUUAUACCGGUAACCAUUAUUUAUGCAAUUAUUUUCUUAACCGGUCUGGUAGGCAAUGUCUCGACAUGUGUUGUUAUUGCGCGAAACCGCUCGAUGCAUACGGCCACUAAUUACUAUUUAUUCAGCCUUGCGAUUUCCGAUUUGCUGCUACUUGUUUCGGGAUUACCGCCGGAGAUGUAUUAUAUCUGGUCCCACUUUCCAUAUAUCUUUGGAGAGUCUUUUUGUAUGAUCCAGAGCUUCGCUGCUGAAACAUCUGCUAAUGCAACUGUACUUACUAUUACGGCGUUUACUGUUGAGAGAUACGUAGCAAUUUGUCAUCCUUUCCUGUCGCACACAAUGUCCAAACUUUCACGGGCUGUCAAAUACGUAGUCGCGAUUUGGCUUCUUGCCCUGUGUUUGGCCAUACCGCAGGCCAUUCAAUUUGGGGUGGUUUAUUCACAAGAGAUGAAUGGGACGAUGAUAAUGGAUACGGCAAUGUGUUCCGUCAAGUGGGUAAUAAUUGAACACGCUUUUGAAAUAUCAACUAUUUUAUUGUUCGUCGGGCCGAUGACUAUAAUCACCGUGCUAUACAUACUCAUUGGCAUCAAGUUGAGACAUUCCAGAGUGCUUACCACUAUCAAGAGAAAUCCUUUUCCCGGCUGUCUUAAUCACGGCGAUAGUGGCAGAUCACGAGGCCUAGCUCAGCGUAAUGUCAUAAGGAUGCUUGUUGCUGUUGUGGUCGCAUUUUUUAUCUGCUGGGCACCGUUCCACGCGCAAAGAUUGCUAGCAGUUUAUGCCCAAAGUACCGGGAAUGAACCUCACGCUGCCUUAGUUACUGUCUAUACAGUAUUGACAUAUAUAUCAGGAAUAUUUUACUACCUUUCGACGACUGUUAACCCGCUGUUGUACAACAUAAUGUCCAAUAAAUUCCGCGAGGCAUUCAAGACCAUGCUGGCGGAUCAUUGCCGUGCUGGAAGAUCAUUACAAAAUCGCAGCCCCCAGUUACGAGCUUACAGCAGCCUUUCAAGACAUCAAAAGUCAACAUUAAGAAGACGCGAACCCCAUUCAUCCUCAUCCGCAAGCGAUGAUACUCACCAGCUAGCUCCGCUGACACGACACAAUAAUCAGGGGCAAAUAAUGAUGGAGCACUAUAUUGAUAAUAUUAGUCCGUCAAAUAAUUCUGCGGGCAAAGUCACGGCCAGGAGAAAUAACUUUAGUUACGUCUCUGGCGAAAGGUUUCAACGACAGCUGUAAUAAUAAUGGAGGGAUUUCUCAUGCUAUCAAUAGAUGUUUCAGCAAGGACGAAAAAGCUAUUAAACCGGUGACAAUUGGUAUUUUUCCUGAUGGUAAAAAAGCCGAAGCUAAUGGUCUAUUUCUUCAGUGUAAUAAUGAAGAGAUUAAGCAAAAGUUUAUGGUAGAAAACGAACUCGUAUCAUCGAGUCAUCAGGGUAAUAAAAUUCAAAGUCAUACGAGCAUUG
Molecule: unclassified non-coding RNA, 3533 nt
Filed under: Cotesia glomerata
Lineage: Eukaryota; Metazoa; Arthropoda; Insecta; Hymenoptera; Braconidae
Description: pyrokinin-1 receptor-like, transcript variant X1
Source: RNAcentral